Molecule: long non-coding RNA, 360 nt
Filed under: Mytilus galloprovincialis (Mediterranean mussel)
Lineage: Eukaryota; Metazoa; Mollusca; Bivalvia; Mytilida; Mytilidae
Source: RNAcentral
UUAUUUGGUAUUUUCCCGUUUGUAUAUAUAAAUAAGAUCGUUGGUUUUCCAGUUCGAAUUGUGAUUGCUCUAUGGUCGGGUUGUUGUCGCUUUGACACAUUCCCCAUUUCCUUUCUCAAUUUUACUUAUAAUUUUGUGUCCCUUAUAGCUUGCUGUUUGGUCUGGGUCAAUGCCCUGUGUUAACAGGGCUCAUAUGGGAUCAUUUUACUGUUGUAGAAAAGAAAUACCAAGGAUUUGUAUUGUGCUUCUAUACAAAUCAAUUGAAAAACUUCAAUUUUAUUACUUAAAAAGAGGAGAAAUACAUCAUAUUUUAAACAACUAGAGGGGUCCACUUGUUUUAAAUAAUAUUAAAUAAAAUGU